RNAcentral lists this ribosomal RNA (424 nucleotides) under uncultured bacterium. RNAcentral describes it as "partial 16S ribosomal RNA". It matches the Rfam family "Bacterial small subunit ribosomal RNA", at positions 360 to 776 of the family's 1533-position model. The record is from RNAcentral.
AAUUUUGGACAAUGUGGGAAACCCUCAUCCAGCCAUCCCGCGUGUAUGAUGAAUGCCNNNGGGUUNUAAAGUACUCUUGGCGGNGACNACAAGUUAUCCCCUAAUACGGGAUACUGCCAACGUUAUCAGCAGACUAAGCACCGGCUAACUACUAUCCAGCAACCGCGGUAAUACGUAGGGUGCAAGCGUUAACCGGAAUUACUGGGCGGAAAGCGUGUGUAGGCGGUUCGGGAAGAAAGAUGUGAAAAGCCAGGGCUCAACCUUGGAACUGCAUUUUUAACUGCCGAGCUAGAGUAUGUCAGAGGGGGGUAGAAUUCCACGUGUAGCAGUGAAAUGCGUAGAUAUGUGGAGGAAUACCGAUGGCGAAGGCAGCCCCCUGGGAGAAUACUGACGCUCAGACACGAAAGCGUGGGGAGCAAACAGG